GGCACAGACUUGAAGUAGAGUAGAAUAGUAGGGUCAGCUGGUUCUACUUGUCUACUCCACUUCAAUCCUGUCCCC
Haemonchus contortus (barber pole worm) is the source of this 75-nucleotide non-coding RNA. The record is from Rfam. Lineage: Eukaryota; Metazoa; Nematoda; Chromadorea; Rhabditida; Trichostrongylidae.